UUGUUGGUUAACCUUUUUCUUGAGAAUAUUCAAAUCCUGAAUUACUGAUUUGUAAAUGACAAGGUUUCUUGUUGAAUUAAGCUUUAUCUAAUAAAAUAAUGUUGUCUUGACCGAGAAGUUGGUGUGAGACAUAUAAACAGGCCCAGUGCUAGGUAGGUUAGAGACAUGCAUUUCUAAGUACCCUCAGCUUCAAAUAGCACCAUAAUAAACCUACAUAACCCCAGAACACUAGCUAGCUAGAUACACACGCUUGUCCUACAGUCCAUGUACCUCUAGUUUACACAGAUAUGCAAUAUCUGUAAAUCACUGACAACUUUGUUCCAAUUAAUGUAGCAAUGCCUAAUCUAUUACAGUUAAUCAGUUUUGUACAAAUCACCAUUCUGAAAAUCAUUUACUUUGUAACAUUACAAAUGUUUCAAAAUUCCUGUGACCAGCCUAGGAUAGCACACAGCCUUAACAUGGAGGUAUACCACUAUGGUGCCAUACAGCCUUAACAUGGAGGUAUGAUGCACUAAGGUAGCAUACAGCCUUAACAUGGAGGUACAUGUAUGAUGCACUAAGGUAUCAUACAGUCUUAACAUGGAGGUAUGAUACACUAAGGUAUCAUACAGUCUUAACAUGGAGGUAUGAUGCACUAAGGUAACAUACAGCCUUAACAUGGAGGUAUGAUGCACUAAGGUAUCAUACAGCCUUAACAUGGAGGUAUGAUGCACUAAGGUAGCAUAAAUAUGUACUAAGGUAUCAUACAGUCUUAACAUGGAGGUAUGAUGCACUAAGGUAGCAUACAGUCUUAACAUGGAGGUAUGAUGCACUAAGGUAAAAUACAGUCUUAACAUGGAGGUAUGAUACACUAAGGUAUCAUACAGUCUUAACAUGGAGGUAUGAUGCACUAAUGUAGCAUACAGUCUUAACAUGGAGGUAUGAUGCACUAAGGUAAAAUUCAGUCUUAACAUGGAGGUAUGAUGCACUAAGGUAACAUACAGUCUUAACAUGGAGGUAUGAUGCACUAAGGUAACAUACAGCCUUAACAUGGAGGUAUGAUGCACUAAGGUAACAUACAGUCUUAACAUGGAGGUAUGAUGCACUAAGGUAGCAUACAGUCUUAACAUGGAGGUAUGAUGCACUAAGGUAACAUACAGCCUUAACAUGGAGGUAUGAUGCACUAAGGUAGCAUACAGUCUUAACAUGGUGGUAUGAUGCACUAAGGUAGCAUACAGUCUUAACAUGGAGGUAUGAUGCACUAAGGUAACAUACAGCCUUAACAUGGAGGUAUGAUGCACUAAGGUAACAUACAGCCUUAACAUGGAGGUAUGAUGCACUAAGGUAGCAUACAGCCUUAACAUGGAGGUAUGAUGCACUAAGGUAGCAUACAGUCUUAACAUGGAGGUAUGAUGCACUAAGGUAGCAUACAGUCUUAACAUGGAGGUAUGAUGCACUAAGGUAACAUACAGUCUUAACAUGGAGGUAUGAUGCACUAAGGUAUCAUACAGUCUUAACAUGGAGGUAUGAUGCACUAAGGUAGCAUACAGUCUUAACAUGGAGGUAUGAUGCACUAAGGUAACAUACAGCCUUAACAUGGAGGUAUGAUGCACUAAGGUAACAUACAGCCUUAACAUGGAGGUAUGAUGAACUAAGGUAGCAUACAGCCUUAACAUGGAGGUAUGAUGCACUAAGGUAGCAUACAGUCUUAACAUGGAGGUAUGAUGCACUAAGGUAGCAUACAGUCUUAACAUGGAAGUAUGAUGCACUAAGGUAGCAUACAGUCUUAACAUGGAGGUAUGAUACACUAAGGUAACAUACAGCCUUAACAUGGAGGUAUGAUGCACUAAGGUAUCAUUAAUCCUUAACAGUUUUUAUAUAAAACGUAUAAAAUGUAACACUGGUGCAGUAUAGAGACUUCACAGUGGUUAUAGCCAUACAUAGCUUGUAGAAAUAUAAUGAUACUCAUGUGUAACAGAUUUUCAACAACCUUCUAUAUUUCACAAU
Long non-coding RNA from Pecten maximus, 1986 nucleotides. RefSeq lists it as uncharacterized. The record is from RefSeq and is a predicted model, not a curated record. Lineage: Eukaryota; Metazoa; Mollusca; Bivalvia; Pectinida; Pectinidae. The transcript has 4 exons.